Molecule: ribosomal RNA, 433 nt
Filed under: uncultured bacterium
Lineage: Bacteria
Description: partial 16S ribosomal RNA
Rfam family: Bacterial small subunit ribosomal RNA
Source: RNAcentral
AACGAACGCUGGCGGCAUGCCUAACACAUGCAAGUCGAACGAGACCUUCGGGUCUAGUGGCGCACGGGUGCGUAACGCGUGGGAACCUGCCCUUAGGUUCGGAAUAACUCCCCGAAAGGGGUGCUAAUACCGGAUAAUGUCUUCGGACCAAAGAUUUAUCGCCUUUGGAUGGGCCCGCGUUGGAUUAGCUAGUUGGUAGGGUAAAAGCCUACCAAGGCGACGAUCCAUAGCUGGUCUGAGAGGAUGAUCAGCCACACUGGGACUGAGACACGGCCCAGACUCCUACGGGAGGGAGCAGUGGGGAAUAUUGGACAAUGGGCGAAAGCCUGACGCAGCAAUGCCGCGUGAGUGAUGAAGGCCUUAGGGUUGUAAAGCUCUUUUAGCCGGGAUGAUAAUGACAGUACCGGGAGAAUAAGCACCGGCUAACUCCGUG